Molecule: ribosomal RNA, 465 nt
Filed under: Vreelandella stevensii
Lineage: Bacteria; Pseudomonadati; Pseudomonadota; Gammaproteobacteria; Oceanospirillales; Halomonadaceae
Description: partial 16S ribosomal RNA
Rfam family: Bacterial small subunit ribosomal RNA
Source: RNAcentral
CCUACGGGUGGCUGCAGUGGGGAAUAUUGGACAAUGGGGGCAACCCUGAUCCAGCCAUGCCGCGUGUGUGAAGAAGGCCCUCGGGUUGUAAAGCACUUUCAGUGAGGAAGAACGCCUGGUGGUUAAUACCCAUCAGGAAAGACAUCACUCACAGAAGAAGCACCGGCUAACUCCGUGCCAGCAGCCGCGGUAAUACGGAGGGUGCGAGCGUUAAUCGGAAUUACUGGGCGUAAAGCGCGCGUAGGUGGCUUGAUAAGCCGGUUGUGAAAGCCCCGGGCUCAACCUGGGAACGGCAUCCGGAACUGUCAAGCUAGAGUGCAGGAGAGGAAGGUAGAAUUCCCGGUGUAGCGGUGAAAUGCGCAGAGAUCGGGAGGAAUACCAGUGGCGAAGGCGGCCUUCUGGACUGACACUGACACUGAGGUGCGAAAGCGUGGGUAGCAAACAGGAUUAGAUACCCUAGUAGUC